This 200-nucleotide long non-coding RNA is filed under the name Brassica napus (rape). RNAcentral's name for it is "long non-coding RNA (BNAP_LNC004735)". Lineage: Eukaryota; Viridiplantae; Streptophyta; Magnoliopsida; Brassicales; Brassicaceae. The record is from RNAcentral.
AUUUAGGAAGAAUUAUGAAGUUUUACUAAAUUACAUGACAAAAAAUUAAAACGAUGCUCAUGAACCAUGAAAGAGAGUUUAAUAUACAUUAAUGAAAAUGAAGAAUGUGUUUAGAAAUUUUAAAACAACACUAAAGAUCAUAGGUUUCAGUAUAUAGACAAUUUACCGAAAAACUCAAUAUUUUCGUAGGGGUUAACCCA